This 52-nucleotide small RNA is filed under the name unclassified sequences. Its description in RNAcentral is "Streptococcus sRNA SpF59 (ldcC RNA)". It matches the Rfam family "Streptococcus sRNA SpF59 (ldcC RNA)". The record is from Rfam by way of RNAcentral.
GGAUCACUCCUCACGGAGUCAAGGCCAUACGGACAGCCGGGUCCACUGCCGA